This 396-nucleotide ribosomal RNA is filed under the name uncultured bacterium. Its description in RNAcentral is "partial 16S ribosomal RNA". It matches the Rfam family "Bacterial small subunit ribosomal RNA", at positions 523 to 918 of the family's 1533-position model. The record is from RNAcentral.
AUACGAAGGGUGCAAGCGUUAAUCGGAAUUACUGGGCGUAAAGCGCGCGUAGGUGGUUUGUUAAGUUGGAAGUGAAAGCCCCGGGCUCAACCUGGGAAUUGCUUUCAAAACUAGCAGGCUAGAGUACAGUAGAGGGUAGUGGAAUUUCCUGUGUAGCGGUGAAAUGCGUAGAUAUAGGAAGGAACAUCAGUGGCGAAGGCGACUACCGUGACUGAUACUGACACGGAGUUGCAAAAGCGUGGGGAGCAAACAGGAUUAGAUCCCCUGGUAGUCCACGCCGUAAACGAUGUCAACUAGCCGUUGGGAUCCUUGAGAUCUUAGUGGCGCAGCUAACGCAUUAAGUUGACCGCCUGGGGAGUACGGCCGCAAGGUUAAAACUCAAAUGAAUUGACGGGG